CUUUUCCUCAAGUUUAUCUCGGCUACUGUUCUGAGAGGAAUAAGACACAAUUUACCUCAGAUGAAGAAGCGCUGAGAGAAAUAAGCUUUGGAUUUUCAUCAGAAGAAUGCGGCGGCUUGAUAUCCAGUGGAGGAUAUCAUUUACACAAUGGUUGAAGAUUGUCCCAAAGCGCUUUCCGUACUUGCAAUUUCGCACAUGCACGGGACGACGCAUCCAUUUUCCACCUGUCCUUGGCCAACUUUUGUAAAUCUGUUAUCAUCCAUAAAUUAUUUGGCUCUGAAUGUGGAGGUGCAAACAGUUAAACUUAAAACUCAUUCGAAGUCGAAGUCAUGUUGAUGUUUUACAUUUAAGGACUACAGAGAGCCAGGUAAAUGCAGAAUUCACCCUCAUCACCACAGUCCCCCGUUCUCAACCUUUAUGUCCCGACUGGAUCAUUACUAUAGCCAGCUAUUGAGGGUAUUCAAAAAGAAGGGGGGAACAGCAAGACGUGAUAUCGACAUAAUCAUUGCAGAAAUGGACAUGAAUCCCAGUGUUGAAGUACGACAGACAUGCAUCCUAAAGGCGUUGUGCGUCUACUUAAAUGAAAAGCCUGACAGCCUUAUUAAGGAGUACUGGGCUACUGAGGAUAUUGGUAUUGAUGCAAUGACAGAAAUGGAGAGACUGGCUUUGGGUGUCUACAUUGUUCGAUAUGAUGGAGCAGAUGCUUCAGAUCCACCUGAGGAUGUUGGCGUCGUCAUUGAAGGCUGCACAGUGCUGCGAGAUCUGAGAGAGGUUGCAAAUGGAUGUGCAGUCCUGUUUGGCUUGAUCUAGUGUUUAAACUUGAGCUAUCCCAAGGAGCUGCGAUACACUUUCGAAUUUCUUCAGAAAGUGUCUAUGGAAUUGGAUGGGAACAAGCUCUCCACUAAAGUGCAGGUCCUCAAAAACAAACUGCAUGAGUAAAAUCACCUGCACCAGACAAGACUGGACCUGGCUUUGGACACUUUAAUUGUGUUGACUGUUACUUUAUUUUUGGACUGCUGCUAGACAAAAUAAAGCUGUGAUCAAUGAUGGUUUGUAAUAAGCAGACAGGACUGCAGUUGGUCAUCGACUUGCUUGGGGAGGCUCAGUUCUUUGGAUUUUGGACUGCUGCUAGACAAAACAUCUAGCAAUCUAAAGACAAUGUUGGUUGUGGUAAUUGGCAUUUAAACUUCUCUUGUUUUCUGAUUUCUUCAGAAUCAAAAGAUGUGAAAUACAACAAACACUGGUUUGUUAUAAUGAAACCAUCUCAAACAAUUUAAGGUGAAGAUUGUUUUUUGUUAUGUAAACAUUGCUGAUUUUCUAUUUCUCCUGUUGAUGCAAACUAUAAACCUUGUAUUUUUCAUAAAAAUGUUCUUGAUAAGUCAGCAUGUAUGUAAAGUCUGAACUUAGUAUGUUCUAACGGUGAAGUGCGAAUUUUCUGCAGCAUAAAUCCUCUUGAUUGUAAACUUCAGUUAAUUUAACCUCCCUCCAUAUAGAAAACAAGGAUUUGCCUCUUUAGUUUUUAUUUCAGUAGGCAACACCUGUUAGACAUUGUUGACGUCAAAGUUCAGAUUUACUAUAAAGCUGUAAUGGGAUUGAACAUUAUCGGAUGGUGAAAGAUUCACAGACAAGUUUUAUAUUUUAUAUAUAUAUAUAUUUUUUUUUAUAGUGGUCUAUUCUUUGCACAUCUUUUUUUUUUUUUUUUUUUUGGAAUUCAUCCUUUUAAUGGGAAUUGAAACAUGUGAAGUGCUAAAGUCUACUGAGGCCUCAAGGUAAAAAAAAAAUAUUUGUUUAAAAAUAUAUUUUGUUCUUGGCAGGAGUUUGGCUCUCAAAAUUUCAACUAAAAUGGAAUGGUUAAAUAUAUUAGGCUACUGCAUAUACAUGAUUAUUUAGGCUCAUUGUGUUUCUGACAGUUUAAAAAAAAAGAAGGAUAAAUUACUGUAUAUCUCAUUGUCCCAAUGCCAAUGAUGUAUUUUGUGAUAAAAUUUGAUGAGACACAUCAAAUGAAAUCUGGCACAUAGUGGACAUGCAGUGCAACAAUCAUUUUUCCAUAUAUUUGAAAGUCAUGUUAGUCCGAGUUGUCAAAUUGUUUUUUUUUUCCUUGAGAAAAGUUUAUAGUUAAAGGAGUUUAUUAAGCUAAAAAACAAUAAGGAUUUGCCUCUAUUUUUUAUUGCGGCAGGCAAUACAUGUUAAACAUUCUUGAUGUUGUCAAAGUUCAGAUUCACUUUUGGGACUAUAAAGCUAUAAUGGGAUUUAACAUUAUCAGAUGGUGAAAGAGAUUCACAAACAAGUUUUAUAUUUUUGAAUUAUUAUUUAUAUUGAUCUAUUU
Long non-coding RNA from Cyprinus carpio carpio, 2326 nucleotides. The record is from Ensembl. NCBI's taxonomy places the organism in Eukaryota, Metazoa, Chordata, Actinopteri, Cypriniformes, Cyprinidae.